Molecule: long non-coding RNA, 317 nt
Organism: Camelus dromedarius (Arabian camel)
Lineage: Eukaryota; Metazoa; Chordata; Mammalia; Artiodactyla; Camelidae
Exons: 3
Source: RefSeq, a predicted model, not a curated record
GCUAGUAGCGAAGGAGCGCAGCCCAGGGGGCGCAGCCCGGAACCUGGAGCCCACCCGCCAGAUGAAAGGAGCUUCCUGGGAUGAAAAGGUGGCAGAGGAUGAAAUCUACUCAGGAAUGAGACAUGGCCACUGAGUUACAGAGAGCUAAAUACCUUGCCCAAGGUCACACAGCUAUAAGAGGGCAGAGCUGGAUUUCAGCACCAGAUCUCUGUGUCUCCAAAGCUCGUGCUUAACCGCAGAUCUGCACUGGCCUCCAGAAUGUCCUGGAUGGAGCCCCUGAGACCAUGCCCUCCAAAUUCAGCGAUGCUGGUCAAAAC